GUAUUUCGGAAUAGCGCCUGAAAGGCGGGGGCGGGUGAUUGAUAUCACCCGCCU
This 54-nucleotide unclassified non-coding RNA is filed under the name Escherichia coli 53638. RNAcentral's name for it is "putative sRNA P26". The record is from RNAcentral. RNAcentral also lists the same sequence under 1 other name. Lineage: Bacteria; Pseudomonadati; Pseudomonadota; Gammaproteobacteria; Enterobacterales; Enterobacteriaceae.